GACGAACGCUGGCGGCGUGCUUAACACAUGCAAGUCGAACGGAAAGGCCCUGCUUUUGUGGGGUGCUCGAGUGGCGAACGGGUGAGUAACACGUGAGUAACCUGCCCUUGACUUUGGGAUAACUUCAGGAAACUGGGGCUAAUACCGGAUAGGAGCUCCUGCUGCAUGGUGGGGGUUGGAAAGUUUCGGCGGUUGGGGAUGGACUCGCGGCUUAUCAGCUUGUUGGUGGGGUAGUGGCUUACCAAGGCUUUGACGGGUAGCCGGCCUGAGAGGGUGACCGGCCACAUUGGGACUGAGAUACGGCCCAGACUCCUACGGGAGGCAGCAGUGGGGAAUAUUGCACAAUGGGCGGAAGCCUGAUGCAGCAACGACGCGUGCGGGAUGACGGCCUUCGGGUUGUAAACCGCUUUCGCCUGUGACGAAGCGUGAGUGACGGUAAUGGGUAAAGAAGCACCGGCUAACUACGUG
Molecule: ribosomal RNA, 468 nt
Filed under: uncultured bacterium
Lineage: Bacteria
Description: partial 16S ribosomal RNA
Rfam family: Bacterial small subunit ribosomal RNA
Source: RNAcentral